UACGUAGGGACCGAGCGUUGUCCGGAAUCAUUGGGCGUAAAGAGCGUGUAGGCGGCCUUUUAAGUCCUGCGUGAAAUCCUGCGGCUCAACCGCAGGCGGUCGUGGGAAACUGGGUGGCUAGAGUGCGGGAGAGGAGAGUGGAAUUCCUGGUGUAGCGGUGGAAUGCGCAGAUAUCAGGAAGAACACCCGUGGCGAAGGCGGCUCUCUGGAACGCAACUGACGCUGAGACGCGAAAGCGUGGGGAGCAAACAGG
Molecule: ribosomal RNA, 253 nt
Filed under: uncultured bacterium
Lineage: Bacteria
Description: partial 16S ribosomal RNA
Rfam family: Bacterial small subunit ribosomal RNA
Source: RNAcentral